CUCUGCCAUUUCCUGGUGGCUUUGCAGGCUCCAGAGCAAAAGGGUGGCCGCCCUACGCAAACUCCUCUUUAUCUUCAAAACCUCAGCUCCCUAAGAGGCCUCUUUCCAACUGCACACUUUGGGGACAGCUCACGGAGGUGCCCACCCCGAAGAGUGGCCCUCUCUCUGCACAUCUAUCUUCUCCACGAGGUUGUGAACAUCCUGGGAACAGAGACUGAGUAUUUCACAACCAGAUUCUCAGAGCCAAGUUCAAGGUAAGCUUGGCACACAGAGGUUACUCAAAUGUUUGUUGAACAAAUAUUGAGUAAAUGUGAAGAUCUCUC
Molecule: long non-coding RNA, 323 nt
Filed under: Chinchilla lanigera (long-tailed chinchilla)
Lineage: Eukaryota; Metazoa; Chordata; Mammalia; Rodentia; Chinchillidae
Description: lncRNA (ENSCLAG00000024332.1)
Source: RNAcentral